Lineus longissimus is the source of this 4899-nucleotide long non-coding RNA. RefSeq lists it as uncharacterized. Lineage: Eukaryota; Metazoa; Nemertea; Pilidiophora; Heteronemertea; Lineidae. The transcript is spliced from 3 exons. The record is from RefSeq and is a predicted model, not a curated record.
AUUACAUUAUUUUUAACCGAAUUGCACAAAACAAGUGUUGCGGUUGUAUCUAAUUGUUUUUGCAAACCAAAAAGUCUACCUAUAUGGAUUUGCGACAGCCUCGAAACAUGACAGCCUCCAGGUGGUGAUGAUGACGCAAUGCAUUUUCAAUCUAUUAGGCUGUGGGCCUGAUCCAAAAGCUGUCUUUUGUGACAACGUUUCAGGGGCAAAGUAAAAAUGCUACAAUGAUGAUGAACUCGAUGACAAGAUCACAUAAUGAAAAGUGGCUCUACGUUAACCAGAUCUAAGCUUACUGACUUGAAUCAUGAGAAUAACAAAUGAUAAGAGCAGUCAGUAAAAUUAAGUUCGUCUGUUGACUCCUAGGUGGUCAAACCUUCUUCCUUCAGUCCUGCCACCUAGGAGGCAACUCGUAAGCUAAUUCAUCCAUCAAGAGCAUUUGAAAUGAUUUUCUACCUUCUAAUGACAGGAGCAAUAAUUUUUGCGUGAACCUUUGUUUUGUCUAAAGUAAUCUUAACUUAUCACAGUAAGAGCAUUUUUACUCUGCUUCCAAAAUGUUAUCAUGAUAUCAAAAACUAAGCCUUUUUUGGAUUUGGCCCAAGGCAUAUUUUGAGUGCAACACAACACACCAAUGAUGCUGUAUUCCUUCCUUGGCUGCAGCUUAUAUUCUGUGCCCUCGAUGUUUCAACAUGAAAGUGCAAUUUUAAGGCAUUUGAACAAUGUAAUUUAACCCUUAAGCACGCCAGCGUUUUGUUUGUUUUUCCAUAUGUUCUCCAAGAAAAAUUCCUAGAAAUUUCUAAAAAUGAGCAAUUUCAACAUGAAAUUUGUUAUUCGUCAGUAAACAGACUGACUGAGCAGAAGUUCAGCUCAAGUAGAAUGAUGUUUGAUUCAGCACUUUUAUGUCAGAUGUCACAUCGUAAAUUUGGGCGUCCACAGGUGUUUGAAGGAAAAACCUACGGGCGUUUAGAGGACUAAAGGGUUAAAGGCUACAUAAUUCUAUUCAUUUUGGGCCUGCAAAACAAGCCAUCUAUCACCUCAACACUUGUAGAAUUUGGUACAAAUAAGUGAUACAGGCCUUUUUGCAGUUCUUUGUGAAAAAGGGAGUAGAAAACUGUAUUGCGCUUCCUUCACUUUGAGAUGAACAACAAAUUAUUCUCCUUCAGCAGAAUAGAUUGCGCCACUCUUGCGAAAAUCAGCAGUUCUGGCCGGGCUGUGCAGAAAUUGAUUGAUUGUGCAAGAGUAUAAAUAAAUUGGGGACAGUGUCUAGGGUCAGGUGGCAGAUUUAGACAUUUGGACCGUUAAAAAAAAGAUAACCACAAAACCUGUUUGACCCCAAGACUUGAAAUAUUGCUUGAAGGUCAUACAUCAACAUGACCCUCAAAAUAAAUUUGUAUCUAUCAAAAUUUUAAUGGUUUGCAUUCUUUUUGGCUCACCUUGUAUUAAUGUUUGGAAUGUCAAAAUGCUUUGCUCCAAACUGCGUCUUUGCCUCAGUUGGAAACCAUACAUGUAGCACCUGAGACAAGAGCUAACCUUUUUUGCCAUUCUAUGGUAAAUAAUCAUUGCUCUUCAACCUUUCUGGCUGGUACCUGUGUCUGGCACAGCAUGUCUUACGUAGAAAGUGUAAGUCUGCUCAUUAUUGCAAAAAUAAGUCAAGUUGGUUAACCUUGUCUAACCUUCCCGAACAUGCAACUUUCUUUAUUUUCUCUGGAACUAUCACCUCAUCUCAUUUUCUGAUGUUGAACGAUGCUGGAGGUAUGUCGUCAUGACCAGCAAAAUAUGACAUAUACUCGUUAUGCUGUCUGAUAAAGGGUGGAGGUCCGUUAACAGACACUGCCAUUUAAUAAAGGUGCAACUUUGACUUAGCUUACAGCCACGUAACGGUGUAGCAAUGUUUCGGUUCACAGAUUUUGUUGAUCACGAAAAACAGGAAAUGUGAAGGCUUGACCAGAUGGAUAAUGUAAAAACGCUCUCCCUUGAUGUUGAGACUGGUAGCAUGAGAAAUCUUAUGAUUCCUAAAAUGGUUUUCAGAAUGUGUAAUGUUCCCUUAUUAGAGGGUAAAUAAAUUUCAUGAGGUUUCCAAGGGCCCACAGGAUAAUACUACGUAUAUUAGCUGUUUCUUACCAUCUGUCUCUUGAGUUUCCUACUUGACAACUGUAAUAGUAAUUUCGCGAUAUUUGCUGAAGAAGUCUAUACAGCUUGAAUCAUCAAAAAUUUUGUAAAUCUAGUCAAGCAUAUUCACUGAUCCAUUGUGUGUAUAUGCCAUAAUAUCCCUUCUUGUCAUAGCAUCUAUCAUUAUCUUACAACUCGAGUCAUGAUUGGAAAGCCUCCUUGUCCCUGUGAUGGUCUUGAUCAAACCAGGGGCCAAGCUUUUGUCAUUCACAUACACAUUUACAUUGAUAGACAACUGACACUCCUCUUUUGUUUUUCAAUAUUUUCUGUCCAUGUUUUUUCCCCCGACUCUUCAAAUCUGUAGUAAUUCAAAACUUGUCUCUGCCAUUACUUCUGUUUCAAAUAUGCAUUGUUUCUCUUUCAGCCAUGUUAGAAAAUCCAGGAUGACAUAGUUGGGAGUUGCCAGUUCAAGUGCUCUGCCUAUGGUUGCCAUGGUAACAAAGGAUGAUCAGCUUGACAUGGAGAAGCCAGUUGAGGGAAUGGAGAGCUUUCCAACCUGUUGCUACGGAUCACCUUCUGCCUGUUCGACGUUGUGCAACAAAGGAUGAAACCGACUGAAACCUGCUAUAUUUCCUUGUAUAUUUGUGGCAGGAUUGGAACAACAAGGUUCAACAGGAAAAUGUGGAGGAUUGGAAGCCGGAACUAACAGAAUGGCAAAACAGCAAAUGCUGUGAUGAGAGGAAAAAAUAUGAGUAGAUGUAGUGUGAAUGAAUGAUGGCACUAGUUGUAGAGUUCCUGUGUCCACGGUGCUGCAUGGAUAUCUUAAGUAACUUUCCCUCCUGUAUAGAGUGAGCUACUUCUUGCCAACACUUAAAUCCUCUAUCUGUUCUUGAGUGCAUCAGAAUUUGUACACAAAGCCUCUACCAACUGUUUAUACACUUUUGGAUUUAAAUCUGUGGCUUUUUCAAUUACUGGAGUAAGUCACUCCAUAGAAACUUGGACAGGUUUUGGAGAUCGUGCUAUCAUCCUGUGCUCCAGUGCUGUUAAACGGUCUCCCCAGCAUUUGAAACUCUCUAAAUGUUGACACUUUUAAGGGUCGGCUUAAGACUUGGUUGUUUCAGGAUCACUUUGGUGUGGAAGCACCUUGAUCAGCCUCUGGAAGGGCACUUUAACAUGGGAACUCUACAACUAUACUUCUAUUCCUUAAUAAAGAUGGACUGUUCAAGAAAGAUAUUGACUCUGUGAAGUCGAUUUACCCGAGGGGGCAUCCAUUAGUAUGUAAGCACAAUUUAGCAGACCCCCAUACUGUAAAAACACAAAGGAAACAAAUUGUGCAAAUGUAAGGUAUUUUUACAGUUGAUUACAAAAAUAUUUGAUUCUUACCCUUCACCCUUGUCCAUACGCAAAGUGGACCACAAACUUACCCCUCCCUCAAUUGCAUACAAACGAAAUGGAUGUUCCCUUACCAAAAACAGACUUAUUAUGAUUUUUUGGAAAGGAAGGUCCUACACAUUGGCAAGGACGGGAAGUUGUUGACAUCAUCUGUGAGGCUUAUCAACUGAUGUCAAAAAGGACAUAUGAUACCAGGCACCAGUCUCCUAGUCGCCCCUCUUUCAAGAGAGAAUCUACUGAAAACCUAGAAGUAUUUGCGGUUUCGUGCUUCUGAAAUUUAGCACCUUGACAACCCAAUUUCAAUCAGAUUUUCUUUUUCGCUGCCUUAUAUUUUUGCGAUUAUCUGUAAGCGUAAAACUAAAGUGCACGCAAAUUUAUCCAGGUUAACAGUAGAUUCCAGAUCAUGUUUCAAGGAUACUUUUUAUAUCGAAUAGGCCCAAAUGGUAUCUUUUAGCUUAUGCUAUUGUACUAUUGUACUACUAUUCCUCGUGUCAAACCACUUCACUCUGAUUAACUGGUAUUUCAGUCUGGUGCUAGGAUAGCUUGAAAUACCGGUCUCACAACACAGUAGAGGUAAAUGCAUGUUGCAAUACAUUGCCGUUAAUGACGCCAUAGAAAGUAAUAUCAAAUGCGGUCGCUCAGUGGAAUGUCCUGUACGGAAGUCGUUAAUAAUAAAUAAAUAAAUUCUACUGUCAAAAGUAUAGCUCCCAAAGCCAGAUCGGUCGCAAACAUGUGUCAUCCCGACACCUGAGUGAAAAUAAGCAUGUUAGAAUAUGAUAUGGAAAUGAGAUAGUGGUGUAUCCAAGGCAGGGCCCCCUCCUGGUAGAAAAUGUUUAUACCGGUAGUUGACCAGUUGACUUUGACAAAUUGAAGUUGACCAGUUUUUUAGAAAUUCACCAUAAUAACACCGGGGCUGACUUUCUCAGACUCCUUGAUCUUGGUGUGGUUCUCUGGCUCCCAAAAUAGGUGUCACUAUUCUAACAAGUGAUAGUUACCCAUCACCAUAUACCUAUCUAAGGUUUAAAUUAUAUGUUUUUUUAGCCAUUAGAACUUCAAGAAGACCAAAAUAUUUGGUUGUCAAUUGGUAAUAGACAUGCUUCAUGAAAGAACAUGGGAUAGCUUUGAACCUCCUUCAGCAAUCUUGACAACCAUAAAUGUGUUAUUGCCUCUAAAUAUAUACGUUUUGAAACAUGGAACUGUAUUAAGAGGCAUAAUUACCCUAAAUGUAGUUCAAUGAGCCAACUGAUUCUGUGAAUAUUUCCGUCGAGCCAAUACGGAUGAUAAAUGAUGUGGCCUCAUUUCAGUAAUGCUGGUAGACAACAGCUGGAAGUUUAGGCCGAGAUAAUCUAUUGUAAUCAUACCGAUUAUUGAAUAAUAAAAUUAUUUUUUGUACAUGAUAAA